Non-coding RNA from Blyttiomyces helicus, 86 nucleotides. NCBI's taxonomy places the organism in Eukaryota, Fungi, Chytridiomycota, Chytridiomycetes. The record is from the annotation of a GenBank genome assembly.
GGGGAAUUAGCUCAGAUGGCAGAGCGCUCGCAUAGCAUGUAAUGCUACCAUGCGAGAGGCAGGGGGACCGACACCCCCAUUCUGCA